GAUGAACGCCGGCGGCGCGUCUAAAGCAUGCAAGUCGAACGAGUGACUUUCGGUAGCAAUACUGGAAGUCGCUAGUGGCAAACGGGUGCGUAACACAUUGGCAAUCUGCCUCGAAGUCGGGUAUAACUCUCCGAAAGGAGAGCUAAUUCCACGAUGGUCAUGCGGGGACAAAAGUCAUUCGCAUGUAAAGUGCAAAACACACUUCGAGAGGAGCCUAUGGCCUAUCAGCUUGUUGGUGAGGUAAUGGCUCACCAAGGCUAUGACGGGUAGGGGAUGUGAGAGCAUGAUCCCCCUCACUGGGACUGAGACACUGCCCAGGCACCUACGGGUGGCUGCAGUCGAGAAUAUUCGGCAAUGGACGAAAGUCUGACCGAGCGACGCCGCGUGCAGGAUGAAGGGUUUCGGCCUGUAAACUGCUUUUUUUAGGGACGAAUCUAUGACGGUACCUAAAGAAUAAGAGGUUGCUAACUCUGUGCCAGCAGCAGCGGUAAUACAGAGACCUCAAGCGUUAUCCGGAUUUACUGGGCGUAAAGGGUCCGCAGGUGGUCGUGCGCGUCGAUGGUUAAAUGUACGGGCUCAACUCGUACGCCGCCGUCGAUACGGCAUGACUAGAGGCCGGAAGAGGUAAGCGGAAUUACAGGUGUAGUAGUAAUAUGCGUUAAUAUCUGUAAGAACACCAAAAGCGUAGGCAGCUUACUGGAACGCGCCUGACACUCAGGGACGAAAGCGUGGGGGGCGAAAGGGAUUAGAUACCCCUGUAGUCCACGCCCUAAACGAUGGAUGCUAGAUAUCGGGGGUAUCGACCCUCCCGGUGUCGGUCAAAAAAGCUAACGCAUUAAGCAUCCCGCCUGGGGAGUACGGUCGCAAGACUAAAACUCAAAGGAAUAGACGGGGACCCGCACAAGCAGAGGAGCAUGUGGUUUAAUUCGACGGUAAGCGAGGAACCUUACCAAGGUUUGAAAUGUAGCUGCAAGCCGCUAGAAACAGUGGCCGCCUUCGAGGGUGCUACACAGGUGCUGCAUGGUUGCCGUCAGCUCGUGUCGUGAGAUGUACCGUUAAGUCGGGUAACGAGCGCAACCCCUAUCCCGUGUUGAAUGUUCACGGGAGACCGCCUCGGAUAACGGGGAGGAAGGUGGGGAUGACGUCAAAUCAGCAUGGCUCUUACACCUUGGGCUACACACGUGCUACAAUGGUCAGGACAAUGGGUUGCCAAGCCGUAAGGCGGAGCUAAUCCCAACAAACCUGGCCCCAGUUCGGAUUGAGGGCUGCAAUUCGCCCUCAUGAAGUUGGAUUUGCUAGUAACGGCCGAUCAGCCACGCGGCCGUGAAUACGUUCUCGGGUC
Molecule: ribosomal RNA, 1342 nt
Filed under: uncultured bacterium
Lineage: Bacteria
Description: bacterial SSU rRNA
Rfam family: Bacterial small subunit ribosomal RNA
Source: RNAcentral